Molecule: ribosomal RNA, 678 nt
Filed under: uncultured Anaerolinea sp.
Lineage: Bacteria; Bacillati; Chloroflexota; Anaerolineae; Anaerolineales; Anaerolineaceae
Description: bacterial SSU rRNA
Rfam family: Bacterial small subunit ribosomal RNA
Source: RNAcentral
UGGGGNUGCUACCAUGCAGUCGAACGGACCACUUCGGUGGUUAGUGGCGCACGGNUGAGUACACGUGGUUGACCUACCCCAAAGUAAGUGAUAACGGUCCGAAAGGACUGCUAAUACCUUAUAAGCUCCCGGUGUUUAGAAAACUGGGAGAAAAGUUCCGGCGCUUUGGGCGGGGACUGCGGACCAUCAGCUAGUUGGUGUGGUAACGGCACACCAAGGCGACGACGGAUAGGGGACCUGAGAGGGUGGCCCCCCACACUGGAACUGAGACACGGUCCAGACUCCUACGGGAGGCAGCAGUGAGGAAUAUUGCACAAUGGGCGCAAGCCUGAUGCAGCGACGCCGCGUGGGUGAUGAAGGUUUUCGGAUCGUAAAGCCCUUUUCUAGAUGACGAGUAAGGACGGUAGUCUAGGAAUAAGUGUCGGCUAACUACGUGCCAGCAGCCGCGGUAAACGUAGGACACAAGCGUUAUCCGGAGUUACUGGGCGUAAAGGGCGUGUAGGCGGACCUGUAAGUCUAUUCUGAAGCUCCUGGCUAAACUGGGAGAGGCGAAUGGAGACUGCAGAUCUAGAGUGAGGAAGAGGAAAGUGGAAUUCCGCGUGUAGUGGUGAAUGCGUAAAGAUGCGGAGGAACACCAGUGGCGAAAGCGACUUUCUGGUCCUNACUGACGCUGAGNCG